This 484-nucleotide ribosomal RNA is filed under the name uncultured bacterium. RNAcentral describes it as "partial 16S ribosomal RNA". It matches the Rfam family "Bacterial small subunit ribosomal RNA", at positions 30 to 507 of the family's 1533-position model. The record is from RNAcentral.
AUUGAACGCUGGCGGCAGGCCUAACACAUGCAAGUCGAGCGGAUGAAGGGAGCUUGCUCCUGGAUUCAGCGGCGGACGGGUGAGUAAUGCCUAGGAAUCUGCCUGGUAGUGGGGGAUAACGUCCGGAAACGGGCGCUAAUACCGCAUACGUCCUGAGGGAGAAAGUGGGGGAUCUUCGGACCUCACGCUAUCAGAUGAGCCUAGGUCGGAUUAGCUAGUUGGUGGGGUAAAGGCCUACCAAGGCGACGAUCCGUAACUGGUCUGAGAGGAUGAUCAGUCACACUGGAACUGAGACACGGUCCAGACUCCUACGGGAGGUAGCAGUGGGGAAUAUUGGACAAUGGGCGAAAGCCUGAUCCAGCCAUGCCGCGUGUGUGAAGAAGGUCUUCGGAUUGUAAAGCACUUUAAGUUGGGAGGAAGGGCGGUAAGUUAAUACCUUGCUGUUUUGACGUUACCAACAGAAUAAGCACCGGCUAACUUCGUG